AGUGGCGGACGGCUGAGUAAUGUCUGGGAAACUGCCUGAUGGAGGGGGAUAACUACUGGAAACGGUAGCUAAUACCGCAUAACGUCGCAAGACCAAAGAGGGGGACCUUCGGGCCUCUUGCCAUCGGAUGUGCCCAGAUGGGAUUAGCUAGUAGGUGGGGUAACGGCUCACCUAGGCGACGAUCCCUAGCUGGUCUGAGAGGAUGACCAGCCACACUGGAACUGAGACACGGUCCAGACUCCUACGGGAGGCAGCAGUGGGGAAUAUUGCACAAUGGGCGCAAGCCUGAUGCAGCCAUGCCGCGUGUAUGAAGAAGGCCUUCGGGUUGUAAAGUACUUUCAGCGGGGAGGAAGGCGAUAAGGUUAAUAACCUUGUCGAUUGACGUUACCCGCAGAAGAAGCACCGGCUAACUCCGUGCCAGCAGCCGCGGUAAUACGGAGGGUGCAAGCGUUAAUCGGAAUUACUGGGCGUAAAGCGCACGCAGGCGGUCUGUCAAGUCGGAUGUGAAAUCCCCGGGCUCAACCUGGGAACUGCAUUCGAAACU
This 544-nucleotide ribosomal RNA is filed under the name Enterobacter sp. Its description in RNAcentral is "bacterial SSU rRNA". It matches the Rfam family "Bacterial small subunit ribosomal RNA", at positions 94 to 634 of the family's 1533-position model. Lineage: Bacteria; Pseudomonadati; Pseudomonadota; Gammaproteobacteria; Enterobacterales; Enterobacteriaceae. The record is from RNAcentral.